Molecule: ribosomal RNA, 330 nt
Filed under: Chaetothyriales sp.
Lineage: Eukaryota; Fungi; Ascomycota; Eurotiomycetes; Chaetothyriales
Description: partial small subunit ribosomal RNA
Source: RNAcentral
UAAAUAGCCAGGUUGACUUUUGUCGGCCGCCGGCUUCUUAGAGGGACUUUUGGCUCAAGCCAAUGGAAGUACGAGGCAAUAACAGGUUAACCUUGAGUUACAACUCAUCACAGGCCUGUAACAGUGAACCUCGUUAAAAAAAAUCACUAGUUGAGUACCUUCAUCUCUCUAGGUGGAAGUCCACCGAACUGUCGGGUAGAGAGAACUCCUUCGGGGGUGUGGUGCCAGCGAGACAACCUGGUUCAGGAGACGCUGACUCUGUAUAGAAUGCCAAUCCUGAGGCGAGCCAAAGUAAACGCUUGGCCGUCGCAACGCGCGCAAAGGUGUCGG